CUUCACAAGAAUUAGAUCUUCAUCAGUUUCUCUUUUUUUUUUCCUUCAAUAAUCCAUAACAUAAACACAAAUUACCAUAUUUGUUUAACAGUUAGGUAUCAUCCAACAUUCCAUUUAUAAUCUGACAAGUCAGUCAUCCUGACAAUAUUAACACCACACAAGUAAGUUUAACUCAAGUUGCAUAUUCCGGUCAUUAGAAAACAAAACUAAUGCCACUAGCCCAUCACCGGGUAACCAAUUCCUCCGCCCAUCUUAUUCCAUAAUUUUCAAUCAAUAUCCGCCUCUUCAAGGCCGAAUGAAUAAUCCUAUGAAGAUGCCAAUCCCCAUUUCAUCAAUAUUUUUAAUUAUUCCCUGUCAGAAAUAUCAUUAUAAUACCUCUCUCCUAAAACUUGGAAGGGAAUGCUAACACUAAUAAAUUUUCAUUAGUGUUAUUAGUCUCCCAUAUCAGGAUCGGCUAAUCAAGUUCAUUGUAAACGUCAAAAUUAAUACCACUGAUUGAUGUAUCGACUAUUUCUAACAUGAAAUAGCCAGUCAGAUUUUUCUUUCCAUAAUAUCUUGGAAUAUUUCCGGAAAUGUUGAUGUCAAGAUUCUUGACAUCAUUAGCUUUCACUUCAGGAAUAGCUAGUCAAGUUUCAUAUGAUUGCCGUUAUCGACAACACCGGUCGAUAUCAUUAACUAUUCUCACCUGAAUAGUUAAUCAAAUUCAGUAUCCCUCGUUUUCAGGGAUGAUUAUGCCGAUAUUAGUAAACCUUACUAACAUCAUUAGCCUCCGCAUUCGGGACCGGCUAAUCAAGUUUCGUGUGAUUGCCGAUAUCGACAGCACUGGUCAAUAUCAUUAACUAUUCUCACCCGAAUAGUUAAUCAAGUUCAGUAUCCCUCGUUUUCAGGGAUGAUUAUGCUGAUGUUAGUAAACCUUACUAACAUCAUUAGCCUCCGCAUUCGGGACCGGCUAAUCAAGUUUUGUGUGAUUGUCGAUAUCGACAACACCGGUCAAUAUCAUUAACUAUUCUCACCCGAAUAGUUAAUCAAGUUCAGUAUCCCUCGUUUUCAGGGAUGAUUAUGCCAAUGUUAGUAAACCUUACUAUCAUCAUUAGCCUCCGCAUUCGGGACCGGCUAAUCAAGUUUCGAGGAAUGAUCAUCAUUGAAGUCUAUUAGUGUAAUUCAUAUUCUUAACCCAAUCAAGUACUCAAAUCCAUUUUUAAUUUCUCGUUUAUUUCACUUUAUCCUCUCUCUUUGUGGUUUCACCCAUAGAAGCAAAGACGAAGAAUUUAAUAAGUUAGUAAAUUAACGCUACGUAAAAAGUGUAGGUAUAGAACACCUACCAGCUGCAGAAGCUCAACUCGCUCUUCCUUGUUGUUGUUAUGACCCUCUUGCAGUCCCUCCUUAAGCUCCUACUAUAUGAGCUCCUGAGAAGUCGAGUGAAUGCUUCUCCUGAAAUUUAGAGACCUGCUGUUCGGGAAGUACAAUUUCUGGUAGGAGUGUUCUUUUCCGAUCUAAACCGUUCAGAAUUUAUAUAACAUCUGGAUGAACAACAUAUCCAAAAUCCAGACCAAUCCAACGGUGAAACGAUGAUAUAACGGCCGAUGAACAAGGCUGUCUUGAAGGGUGAUUUUCCAGAAAUGUUCCUCCAG
This 1631-nucleotide long non-coding RNA is filed under the name Populus trichocarpa (black cottonwood). Its description in RNAcentral is "long non-coding RNA (PTRI_LNC003370)". Lineage: Eukaryota; Viridiplantae; Streptophyta; Magnoliopsida; Malpighiales; Salicaceae. The record is from RNAcentral.